Ochotona princeps (American pika) is the source of this 914-nucleotide long non-coding RNA. RefSeq lists it as uncharacterized. The record is from RefSeq and is a predicted model, not a curated record. Lineage: Eukaryota; Metazoa; Chordata; Mammalia; Lagomorpha; Ochotonidae. The transcript has 3 exons.
AGUCCGGCCAAUGGAUGCACAGCCGUACUUUGCACACCUCGCAGGAGGCUGUCACUUCUUCACUGAUGGAUCCUCUGCUAGCUGGUAGAAGCUGCAUGUGCAAUGUUUCAAUGCCUGUGCACACUGCAAAAUAACCAAACUAGGUGGACACAGUUGCUAUGGAAUAGGAAUCAAGUCUCAUGUCCUUCUAGGCUGUGUUACCUGAUGCUUCAGAAAGCAAGGCCAGGGGACAGUGGGAGUGGACUGGGCAGGAGCCUCUGGGACUUCCUGCCAGCUUUCAAUCUGCAGCUUUCAGAGUCCAGCAGAGUGAACCAGUGAUUAUACAAUGGUGAAGUUGAGUCUCUUGUGUCUCAGCGUUGCUGGGGAAACCCUGCACAUGAGGCAACAGGCUGAUGGUGUAAAGCAUGAGCCAGGGCACUGUCGGGUGGAGCCAUGUGGAUGUGGGGACCAUGGCUAAAGAAGGUAUAGUUGGUCAAAUGCAGGGAGUUCAUUGACAGGUGAAUGCUGUGGCAAUGCUGGGGAGGAACACACAUGGACCUCUGGAGUGAUUAUGGAAGUAUUCAAGAACGUAACUGGUGCCAAAUGAUCUUCCUAGAGGUGGACAGAUCAUGGCUGAGCCAAGCGGGCAAGGGAUCCAAGAAGAUUUGGGACCACUUUAAGGAUGUGCUUGUACUGAGCUUCACAAAGCAUGGUGUGGCAGGAAGAAUAACACAGAGGCCCAGGGUCUGACUCCCCUUGGUUUUAAUUUCAGCCUUCAGAACAUUCCCAAGCUUUUCUGUACCCUAGAUUCCCCAUGUGUGAAAUGAGAGCCUUUUGCAGAUCUGCCAUUCUGGAGCCCAUGGGCUUUAUGCAGAUAGGAAGUCAUCCUUCCCUAGUUCCUGCUUGUGUGGCACAGCAGAGGCUGGCUCACCAGG